CUUACCCGGUUUUAACUUCAGCAGGAAGCAUCAAAAGAGGGGUGUUGCUUUGGGGUCGAAAACCCGGGGGUGCAGGGGUGUUGUCCGCCUCUUGUUUGAGAUGUUGGGUUAAAUCCCCCAACGAGCGCCACCCUCCUUCUUAGUUGCCAGCGGUUAAUGGUGGGGACUCUUAGGAGACCGCCGGGGAAAAACCGGAGGAAGGGGGGGAUGACGUCAAAUUAUCAUGCCCCUUUCUUCCGGGGGUUCCCCCUUUGUAAAAUGGUGGGUACAAAGGGGUGCCAACCCGCGAGGGGGAGCCAAUCCCAUAAAACCCGUCUCAGUUCGGAUUGGGGUCUGCAACUCGACCCCAUGAAGUCGGAAUCGUAAUAAUCAAAU
RNAcentral lists this ribosomal RNA (375 nucleotides) under uncultured bacterium. Its description in RNAcentral is "partial 16S ribosomal RNA". It matches the Rfam family "Bacterial small subunit ribosomal RNA", at positions 970 to 1334 of the family's 1533-position model. The record is from RNAcentral.